UGUUCGAAAAGGCAAACUCAUCGAAAGGUGGGGACGCAAAAUCACAGUCUAAGGGUGGCUGAGCCACCUACGACCGACGGAUUACCGAA
RNAcentral lists this non-coding RNA (89 nucleotides) under unidentified. Its description in RNAcentral is "Endosymbiont of c-di-GMP sequence". It matches the Rfam family "c-di-GMP-I riboswitch aptamer". Rfam says of the family: GEMM was predicted in a large-scale screen for bacterial structured RNA regulatory elements. Genes associated with GEMM are involved in a diverse array of functions, including chemotaxis regulation, signal transduction, secretion and chitin. The record is from RNAcentral.